UAAUACCGAAGAAAUGUCAUAUAUUUAGACUUGAUGAACAAGAAUUAAAGAAGCAAAGAUCUACUGACAGAUCUUUUAUACAUAUCUCAUUAUAUAAGAUAAAUAAGGAGUUUAUCAAAAGAAUUCUCAAAAAACUCCUUUUAACUUGCGAAUCCAUUAGUCUUCACGGCAGCAUUUGGUGCAGACUGGGGGCAUCACCUCUAUGUUGCAGUCACAGCAAGCUUUUUGGCAUGUGCUCGUGCAUGCUGCAAAUACAAAUAAAUAAAUAUUAAAAGCAAAAAUGAUAAUGUCAAAUAAGUAGCAAAUACAUACCAAAAGUAUUUUUUAGAAAUUUUAUCUUAAACCAUGUCGUGACGUUUCUAUGACUAGUAAAAAUACUAAUUAAAGCUAAAAUAAAUAGUUUAAAGUUAAAAUAAUUUAUAAAUAUAAAAAGAUUUAUUUUAUUUAAAAUUGACUUAAAAGAAAGAGCGCUAUAUAAAAAGAAAGGAAAUAGAAUUGUACGGAAGAUAAUAACAUCUAAUGCUCGUCCAUGCUGCAGACGGCUGACGACAAGCGGCUUUGGGGAAUUAGCUCCGGCUUCAACCUCCACACAAGACAUAGACGCCAACAGAAGAAGAAUAGAGGCAAUUACUAAGAACUUUGCCAUGGUUUCACCAAUCUAAAAAUGAAAAACAACCUGGAAAUUAUAAUUUAUA
RNAcentral lists this long non-coding RNA (695 nucleotides) under Nicotiana benthamiana. RNAcentral's name for it is "long non-coding RNA (NBEN_LNC026063)". The record is from RNAcentral. Lineage: Eukaryota; Viridiplantae; Streptophyta; Magnoliopsida; Solanales; Solanaceae.